UAAAGCUCUGUUGUCAGGGAAGAACAAGUACCGUUCGAACAGGGCGGUACCUUGACGGUACCUGACGAGGAAGCCACGGCUAACUACGUGCCAGCAGCCGCGGUAAUACGUAGGUGGCAAGCGUUGUCCGGAAUUAUUGGGCGUAAAGCGCGCGCAGGCGGUUCCUUAAGUCUGAUGUGAAAUCUCGCGGCUCAACCGCGAGCGGCCAUUGGAAACUGGGGAACUUGAGUGCAGGAGAGGGGAGCGGAAUUCCACGUGUAGCGGUGAAAUGCGUAGAGAUGUGGAGGAACACCAGUGGCGAAGGCGGCUCUCUGGCCUGUAACUGACGCUGAGGCGCGAAAGCGUGGGGAGCGAACAGGAUUAGAUACCCUGGUAGUCCACGCCGUAAACGAUGAGUGCUAAGUGUUAGAGGGUAUCCACCCUUUAGUGCUGCAGCAAACGCAUUAAGCACUCCGCCUGGGGAGUACGGCCGCAAGGCUGAAACUCAAAGGAAUUGACGG
This 500-nucleotide ribosomal RNA is filed under the name uncultured bacterium. Its description in RNAcentral is "bacterial SSU rRNA". It matches the Rfam family "Bacterial small subunit ribosomal RNA", at positions 426 to 916 of the family's 1533-position model. The record is from RNAcentral.